Molecule: long non-coding RNA, 1687 nt
Organism: Oncorhynchus kisutch (coho salmon)
Lineage: Eukaryota; Metazoa; Chordata; Actinopteri; Salmoniformes; Salmonidae
Exons: 2
Source: RefSeq, a predicted model, not a curated record
CCAAAUGAUUAGCCAAGCAACCUUCGCCCCUCAGCCCUCGUUUUUAGUCGGCUUUGCGAGUGUACAAUUAUGCCUGAAACUCUUCAUAAUUCAAUUCGUGACGAUUGUACAUCCGUUAAGAAAGUCAGCCAAAACUUAAAAACAACAUCAAUGGAGAAGUCAACAUACAAGUGUAGACCCAGCGAAAUGACGUUGCCACGUUCAGCACCACAUAUAUUGCGAUGAGUGAGAUGCAAGACUUCGCUUCCACAGUCACACACAGUAUCUGCACGUGUACGAGUUUGCGUCUCGUGGUACGGGACCAAAACAGCUGAGAAGUUUAGCCUCACGCUUCAACACUCUUAGCUGCUGCGGAAAUUGAUCCCCUAUGCUGUUUACUUUGUGCACCCAAGUCAUAUCGUGGAGUCUACCUCUAACUGGGAUUUGUUUUAGAAUCAUGGUGCAAUGAGUAUCACAGUCUGGUAAAACUCAUAGUCCGUACUAAGACAACAUGGAUAUAUCGAUAAAGGAUUUUCAAAUGAGUUCUUUCAACAUUAGUGCUCUCCCCUGGGGUCCAUUCGAUUUAAAUUACAAUGUGAACUGUACAUGAGUGCAAUUCAAUUAUUUGUAUACCACAACCCUGACAACCACAUAUACACAAGACACUCAUUCACUCAAGACAGCUCUGCGAAUGUGAAGGAUGCGGAUGUCAGGACUGUUAUACUCUGGGUCCUGCUUGUUCAAAGGGAUCUCCUCAGACUGGAAGUCUUGUAGAAGCAACUGAUUGGACAACAGAACAGAGGAACAGCACGUCAUUGAAGAGGAAGAUGGUCAUAAGAUCUCCACAGAAGAAAUGAAAAGUUCACAUAUAACAGCUAACUACAUUUCCUUACACAACAGUAUAUAUGAUAACAAGAACUGACAGAUUUCUCACCUCAAAAAAUUGUUUCUCCACUUUGGGGUUGACACCCACUGUGCGUUGCUCAUAGCAGCAUAUGAUGGUGGUCUCUGGUCCAACCAGGUGCUUCAGGGUUUCCACCAGUGGCUUCACGGACUAAGUACAACAGACAGUAAAAAAGUUAUUUUUCACCCAUGUAUUGAACUCCAAGUAACUCAUCCCACUAUCAAUAGUGUUGUAUUACUAAAUGUGUUGAGUAGCUGUAUAGGUGUUCAAGCAAUAAAAAGCAAGUCCAACAAAAAAUGAGCCUAGGUUAGUACCCCCCAAAAUUAAAAUUGCACAAAUUCAGUAUCACAACAGUACAACACCUGUUCAUAAUAGAUGCAGUCCGCCAUCAGGAUAAAAUGUGGGUGUGGUAGAAACUCUGACACAUUUUCACCCCUUUAAAAAAGGUAAGAGAAUUCCACAUGAGACAUGAACAAGGCUAGAUUACAUGGCCCAUCUAUAGAAAAGCCAUGGUUUGCUUACACAUUAUAGCCUACUGUGAUAACUAUGGUUGUAGUUUGCCUUCUCUUAGGAAAUAGAAUCUAUAUUAACUAACAAGUACUGGGAUAAGUACAGUACAGACCAUUUUAGUACCUUGGCUUCGAUGGAUCCACUGCUGACAAGUUCCUGGUUGUCUUGGAUAUUGACUUGGAGUAGAGACUGCAGGUCCUCGAGGUCUGUCACAGUAACCUGAGCCCUACGGGACAGAAAGAGAGAGGGAUUAAGACAAUAUGUUCAUUAUUAUUAAAAUAAUUUCAUCAAUCA